AUUGAACGCUGGCGGCAGGCCUAACACAUGCAAGUCGAACGGUAACAGGAAGCAGCUUGCUGCUUUGCUGACGAGUGGCGGACGGGUGAGUAAUGUCUGGGAAACUGCCUGAUGGAGGGGGAUAACUACUGGAAACGGUAGCUAAUACCGCAUAACGUCGCAAGACCAAAGAGGGGGACCUUCGGGCCUCUUGCCAUCGUAUGUGCCCAGAUGGGAUUAGCUAGUAGGUGGGGUAACGGCUCACCUAGGCGACGAUCCCUAGCUGGUCUGAGAGGAUGACCAGCCACACUGGAACUGAGACACGGUCCAGACUCCUACGGGAGGCAGCAGUGGGGAAUAUUGCACAAUGGGCGCAAGCCUGAUGCAGCCAUGCCGCGUGUAUGAAGAAGGCCUUCGGGUUGUAAAGUACUUUCAGCGGGGAGGAAGGGAGUAAAGUUAAUACCUUGGCUCAUUGACGUUACCCGAAGAAGAAGCACCGGCUAACUCCGUG
Molecule: ribosomal RNA, 490 nt
Filed under: uncultured bacterium
Lineage: Bacteria
Description: partial 16S ribosomal RNA
Rfam family: Bacterial small subunit ribosomal RNA
Source: RNAcentral